AUUGAACGCUGGCGGCAUGCUUUACAUAUGCAAGUCGAACGGUAACAGGCCGCAAGGUGCUGACGAGUGGCGAACGGGUGAGUAAUGCAUCGGAACGUGCCCAGUCGUGGGGGAUAACUACUCGAAAGAGUAGCUAAUACCGCAUACGAUCUAUGGAUGAAAGCGGGGGACCGUAAGGCCUCGCGCGAUUGGAGCGGCCGAUGUCAGAUUAGGUAGUUGGUGGGGUAAAGGCUCACCAAGCCAACGAUCUGUAGCUGGUCUGAGAGGACGACCAGCCACACUGGGACUGAGACACGGCCCAGACUCCUACGGGAGGCAGCAGUGGGGAAUUUUGGACAAUGGGCGCAAGCCUGAUCCAGCAAUGCCGCGUGCAGGAAGAAGGCCUUCGGGUUGUAAACUGCUUUUGUACGGAACGAAACGGCUCUGGUUAAUACCCGGGGCUAAUGACGGUACCGUAAGAAUAAGCACCGGCUAACUACGUG
This 482-nucleotide ribosomal RNA is filed under the name uncultured bacterium. RNAcentral's name for it is "partial 16S ribosomal RNA". It matches the Rfam family "Bacterial small subunit ribosomal RNA", at positions 30 to 507 of the family's 1533-position model. The record is from RNAcentral.